CCGGUGGGUCACCGGGUCGGCCAGCGGCAACGGGCGCUCCAGCCAUUCGGCGGCGAAGCCGAUGGCGCUGCGCUCGCGUUCGAAGUGCAACUCGCAGGC
This 99-nucleotide transfer RNA is filed under the name Pseudomonas aeruginosa. RNAcentral describes it as "tRNA-Trp(cca)". Lineage: Bacteria; Pseudomonadati; Pseudomonadota; Gammaproteobacteria; Pseudomonadales; Pseudomonadaceae. The record is from RNAcentral.